CCGGUACCGGAAGAAUAAGCCCCGGCUAACUUCGUGCCAGCAGCCGCGGUAAUACGAAGGGGGCUAGCGUUGCUCGGAAUCACUGGGCGUAAAGCGCACGUAGGCGGGCUUUUAAGUCGGAGGUGAAAUCCCAGAGCUCAACCCUGGAACUGCCUUCGAUACUGGAAGUCUUGAGUCCGGAAGAGGUGAGUGGAACUCCGAGUGUAGAGGUGAAAUACGUAGAUAUUCGGAAGAACACCAGUGGAGAAGGCGGAUCACUGGUCCGGUACUGACGCUGAGGUGCGAAAGCGUAGGGGAGCAAACAGGAUUAGAUACCCUGGUAGUCCACGCCGUAAACGAUGAAUGCUAGCCGAUGGGGAGCUUGCAUCUUCAGUGGCGCAGAUAACACUUUAAGCAUACCGACUGGGGAGUACGGUCGCAAGAUUAAAACUCAAAGGAAAUAGACGGGGGCCCGCACAAGCGGUGGAGCAUAGUGAGAAAAAUACAAAGCAACGCGCA
Molecule: ribosomal RNA, 498 nt
Filed under: uncultured bacterium
Lineage: Bacteria
Description: bacterial SSU rRNA
Rfam family: Bacterial small subunit ribosomal RNA
Source: RNAcentral